AUACCCUAUUAUUUUUAAUGUAAAAUUUGAAGGCUUGAGUAGUAAUAGAUAUGAUCUUUAAACUUAAAGAAUUUGGCGGUAUUAUAAUCUUUUUAGGGGAAUUUGUCAUGUAAUCGAUAGUCCACGUUGAACCUUACUUAUUUUAUUUUCUUGUAUACCGCUGUUUAUGGGAAAUACUUUUAGGUAAAUAUUUUCUUGAUAAAUUAAUAAUUAGAAUUUCAAGUCAAGGUGCAGUAAUGGAUAAGUUGAAUGAUGGGUUACAAUAAAUUUUAUUUAAUUAAUGGAUUAUUAUUUAAAUGGUAAUAUGAAGGUGGAUUUAAUUGUAAUUUUGUGAAGAUUAUUAAAAUGAAUAUGGCUCUAUAAUAUGUACACAUCGC
Molecule: ribosomal RNA, 377 nt
Filed under: Oligonicella sp. 2 JMR-2016
Lineage: Eukaryota; Metazoa; Arthropoda; Insecta; Mantodea; Thespidae
Description: partial 12S ribosomal RNA
Source: RNAcentral